This 465-nucleotide ribosomal RNA is filed under the name Vreelandella stevensii. Its description in RNAcentral is "partial 16S ribosomal RNA". It matches the Rfam family "Bacterial small subunit ribosomal RNA", at positions 338 to 795 of the family's 1533-position model. The record is from RNAcentral. Lineage: Bacteria; Pseudomonadati; Pseudomonadota; Gammaproteobacteria; Oceanospirillales; Halomonadaceae.
CCUACGGGAGGCAGCAGUGGGGAAUAUUGGACAAUGGGCGAAAGCCUGAUCCAGCCAUGCCGCGUGUGUGAAGAAGGCCUUCGGGUUGUAAAGCACUUUCAGUGGGGAAGAAAGCCUUGGGGCUAAUACCCUCGAGGAAGGACAUCACCCACAGAAGAAGCACCGGCUAACUCCGUGCCAGCAGCCGCGGUAAUACGGAGGGUGCGAGCGUUAAUCGGAAUUACUGGGCGUAAAGCGCGCGUAGGCGGUCUGAUAAGCCGGUUGUGAAAGCCCCGGGCUCAACCUGGGAACGGCAUCCGGAACUGUCAGGCUAGAGUGCAGGAGAGGAAGGUAGAAUUCCCGGUGUAGCGGUGAAAUGCGUAGAGAUCGAGAGGAAUACCAGUGGCGAAGGCGGCCUUCUGGACUGACACUGACGCUGAGGUGCGAAAGCGUGGGUAGCAAACAGGAUUAGAUACCCUUGUAGUC